Molecule: transfer RNA, 85 nt
Filed under: Chaetophora lobata
Lineage: Eukaryota; Viridiplantae; Chlorophyta; Chlorophyceae; Chaetophorales; Chaetophoraceae
Description: tRNA-Ser
Rfam family: tRNA
About the family: Transfer RNA (tRNA) molecules are approximately 80 nucleotides in length. Their secondary structure includes four short double-helical elements and three loops (D, anti-codon, and T loops).
Source: RNAcentral
GGAAAGAUGUCCGAGUGGUUUAAGGAGCAAACCUGGAACGUCUGUGUAAUUUAUGUUACCGAGGGUUCGAAUCCCUCUCUUUCCG